UUUCUAUAUUUCCUGCCCAGUACUAAAAUCAGCCAUUUCUCCGAGGAGCCCUGAUUCCUUUUACCAUGGAAAGGGAGCUGAACUUCAGCAGUGAAAAGGACUGGAGAGCUCCCGCGGGUCUCGAACCGCCCAGAGAGGUAAAAGGACUGGAGAGCGCCCGCGGGUCUCGAACAACCCAGACAGGUUGCUUGUUUCAAUUAAAGAACUGUCGAAGUAACCGCUGAGCUAAAGCCAGCCCGGAGGUUGCUUUCGGAUUAUAUUUUAUUGACUGGUGAGAAAGACCUACGUCACAAAGAGUGAGUCAAAAAGAGAGUGCUUCAGCAUGACUCAGCGACCAGGACUGUCCAACACGCCCCCGACCUCCAGACAAUUGAGGAGUUGUCCAUCUGGGGACACACAGCAGUGACAAGGACGUAGCCUUUCCUAAUCCCUGAAGAGCUCUUCCGCAGGUACUCUGAAGGGCAAUUCCAGCAGAAUGUACAUUCCAUGACAUCUGGGACUUUGAUGCGUUGCCCCAGAAGAUAAUACCAGUACCUACAGCAUGUUCACCUAAGCACUGGUCAAGUGGAUAUUACUCAACCAGAAUGCAAACAUUUCUAUUGGUUUUAGUAAGACCUGAAAGAGGCUGGGCGCGGUGGCUAACGCCUGUAAUCCCAGCAGUUUGGGAGGCUGAGGCGGGCGGAUCAUGAGGUCAGAUGAUCAAGACCAUCCUGGCUAACAUGUGAAACCCCCUCUCUACUAAAAAUACAAUAAAAAAAAAAAAUAGCCGGGCGUGGUGGCAGGCGCCUGUAAUCCCAGCUACUCGGGAGGCUGAGGCAGCAGAAUGGCAUGAACCAGGAAGGUGGAGCUUGCAGUGAGCCGAGAUAGCGCCACUGCACUUCAGC
Molecule: long non-coding RNA, 884 nt
Filed under: Homo sapiens (human)
Lineage: Eukaryota; Metazoa; Chordata; Mammalia; Primates; Hominidae
Description: non-protein coding lnc-HARS-1:1
Source: RNAcentral